Molecule: ribosomal RNA, 465 nt
Filed under: uncultured bacterium
Lineage: Bacteria
Description: bacterial SSU rRNA
Rfam family: Bacterial small subunit ribosomal RNA
Source: RNAcentral
CCUACGGGUUGCAGCAGUGGGGAAUAUUGCACAAUGGGCGCAAGCCUGAUGCAGCCAUGCCGCGUGUAUGAAGAAGGCCUUCGGGUUGUAAAGUACUUUCAGCGGGGAUGAAGGGAGUAAAGUUAAUACCUUUGCUCAUUGACGUUACCCGCAGAAGAAGCACCGGCUAACUCCGUGCCAGCAGCCGCGGUAAUACGGAGGGUGCAAGCGUUAAUCGGAAUUACUGGGCGUAAAGCGCACGCAGGCGGUUUGUUAAGUCAGAUGUGAAAUCCCCGGGCUCAACCUGGGAACUGCAUCUGAUACUGGCAAGCUUGAGUCUCGUAGAGGGGGGUAGAAUUCCAGGUGUAGCGGUGAAAUGCGUAGAGAUCUGAAGGAAUACCAGUGGCGAAGGCGGCCCCCUGGACAAAGACUGACGCUCAGAUGCGAAAGCGUGGGGAGCAAACAGGAUUAGAUACCCCAGUAGUC